This 135-nucleotide small nucleolar RNA is filed under the name Gouania willdenowi (blunt-snouted clingfish). Lineage: Eukaryota; Metazoa; Chordata; Actinopteri; Blenniiformes; Gobiesocidae. The record is from RNAcentral.
UGGGCUUCGAUCAAAAGCAGCAGCUUGACGUAGCUGUUAGUUUCAAAGGGAGCCGACAGCAACUCCUUCCUGUGGUCUGUUGAUUUUUCCCCAGAGUUUUAAAGGGAAUGAUCACUUCAGUUGGAAGGGACAAAG